CGUUGACAAACCUUUUUCCUUACAAUCACCGAAGUUAAGCAACGUCGAGUCCGUGUAAUAUCAAGAUGGGCGAUCGCUUGGGAAUACCAGGUGUUGCAAGC
Molecule: non-coding RNA, 101 nt
Organism: Acanthosepion pharaonis
Lineage: Eukaryota; Metazoa; Mollusca; Cephalopoda; Sepiida; Sepiidae
Source: the annotation of a GenBank genome assembly